Molecule: transfer RNA, 98 nt
Filed under: Salmonella enterica subsp. enterica serovar Dublin
Lineage: Bacteria; Pseudomonadati; Pseudomonadota; Gammaproteobacteria; Enterobacterales; Enterobacteriaceae
Description: tRNA-Leu
Source: RNAcentral
GUGGGGGUUCAAGUCCCCCGGCGGAAUUGGUAGACGCGCUAGCUUCAGGUGUUAGUGUCCUUACGGACGUGGGGGUUCAAGUCCCCCCCCUCGCACCA